Molecule: long non-coding RNA, 1068 nt
Filed under: Heterocephalus glaber (naked mole-rat)
Lineage: Eukaryota; Metazoa; Chordata; Mammalia; Rodentia; Bathyergidae
Description: lncRNA (ENSHGLG00000033809.1)
Source: RNAcentral
CUAUAACUGCUAAGAGGGAGAGGUAGAAUUUGAAUUAAUGUUGGAUUCUAAACCUGGUUCUCAUUAACUUAUCUACUUAGCAAUUCUUCCUUGGACAUUUACUAUGUCUGGUGCUAUGGAGUGGGAGUAGGUAUCAUCAGGCUAACAAUUGAGAUUUUGGGAAGAUCAUCCAGGAUUCUCCAAGUGGGCCUGACAGGAUCACACGAGUCUAUAACAGAGAGGCAGAAGGUCAAAAGGAGGCGAAGAUGAUAUGUAGCUGGCUUUGAAGACGGGAGAAGGACUCACAAGUAGCCACUAGAGGCUGACGAAGUCUAGCCCCUCAAGACUCAUUUUGAACUUCUGACCUCCAGAAAUGUAAGAGAAUAAAUGUGUGAUAUGUUAAGGUGUUGAAUUUGCAAUGAUUUUUUGUAUACAAAAAUAGAAAAAUAUGCUUAUGUGUGUGUGUUCAUAAUCUGUCCUCUUUUGUUGGAAUAAGAACUCCUGAGGUCUGGGGCUUUUUCUAUCAUGUUAACUGUUGUAACCUGAGUGCCUAGAACAGAGCCUGGUACUAGAAUAUUUGUUACAUGAAUGCAGAGGGAUGAAGGGGGACCAGCACAUGUGAGGCUUGAAAGGCCUGAAAUGUCAGUGCACUGGGCCACUUUUGGGGGCUAAAACUGGAAAGUGGUGGGCAGUGGGAGGUGCUGGAGGGAGUUGAUGCUGGGACACUUUAUGCUUUAAUCUGCAAGUAAGGAAUUGUUGCUAGCAGAAGGACAUGAUCAUAUUUGCUUGUUAUUUUAAAAGUCAUUUAAAAAUAAUUUUCCUGUUCAGUAUUAAAAAUUGAGAUAUUCAGAAACAAAGGCAAAAAUCUUAAAGUCAUUCAAUCUCAUUUUCUAGAGUUAGCCAGUUAAUAUUUUGGCAUGUAUUUCUCCCUUUGAAGUUGAGAUUAUUCUUUAUAUACUUUCUGAAACUGCCAUUUGUUCCCUUAAUGUGAAUUUCUCCAUGCCAUUAAAUAUUCCCCUAAAAAUGUGGUGCUUAUUGAAUACAUAGAAUCAUUUCAUACAACCUUAACUAUGUUUAUUUAAUCAAUUC